This is a long non-coding RNA of Balaenoptera ricei (Rice's whale), 2132 nucleotides long. RefSeq lists it as uncharacterized. Lineage: Eukaryota; Metazoa; Chordata; Mammalia; Artiodactyla; Balaenopteridae. The transcript is spliced from 4 exons. The record is from RefSeq and is a predicted model, not a curated record.
GUAGGCACUACCCAUGAGUGUCUGGAAAGGGGUACCAGUAGCCGAUGCCGAACUGACGGCAGGGGCAGAGACUCUGGAGAAGUUGCAGACGCUUCGUGUUAGGGAAGUUGCAUUGCUACAACAGAUUUUUAAGCAACAGAGCAAUCCAGCCAAGUUUAUAUUUUAGAGAGAGAACAUCUUCCAUGUGGAGGAUCAGUUGAAAUAGAAGAGAUUGUUAGAAUUGUAGGGCGGUAGUAUUCCAGGCAGGAGAUGACGAAUGCCAGACACCACCUAGUCACAGACAUAGCUUUUGCAGAGAUCAGCUACAUGUUGUUGUUUUUUAUUUACUCUCUCAUAUAAUUUUUUUUAAGUCCUGGACCACAAAAUACUGUGGCAUCGUUGGAAAAAUCUGAGACUCGAUUCUAGUCUUUUUUCUGUUUGCCUGCUCUGCAGCUUGGGCUUACGUUCUCAAGCCUUACUUUUUCAUUGUGAAAUAAGAACGGUGCUACUUAACCCGAGAACUCCCCAGGCACAUAGACCCGUGGCGUGUGAGGAGCAGUGAAGGAGAGAAGGAAUGGAAGUGCUUUGGGGACCCCAAGAGCCCUUCAGAAACCGUUUGUUCUUUUUAAUAUUGAGCAUUAAAAGUGAAGGCAUUCCAUUUGUUUCACUCAAAAACAAAUUCUGUUCUUCUGAUAGCCUGUUUUUUUUUUCCACUCCCUUUUUCUAUAGUCAGAUCAGUUCCUGAUGGGCAUUCUCCAGUCCACACUAUUGCAUCUGAUUGGAGGCUAUGCAAAAUUUCCCAGAGACAAUGAAUUUUGACGACAGACUUCUUGGUGUCCACUGUACCCAUGGUUUCAACAGGACUGGCUACCUCAUGUGCAGAUAUUUGAUUGAUGUAGAAGGCAUGUGGCCAGAUGAUGCAAUUGAAUACUGGUGUUUUAUCUUUACAAGUUCUCCGUCAUUCCAUAAGAAAGCUGCUCGUCUUCUGGUUUCAUAAGAGAUGGUGAACAGUGGUAAAAUAUCCAGUUGACCGAAAUUUCUAGAGUACACUUCAGGGAGCGAGUGAUGGGGUGGAAUGUUGGGGCAGAGUGAGAGAUACAGAUUCUGGUGAGACUGAGAGUCAUGCACAAAAAUUACUGGGCUGUGGUGAAGGGAGAACAAAACUAAAUCAGGUUCCUGCUGGUGGACAGGAAGCCAAGAUGAAGAAGAAUGGUGCGUAGCUGGGCAGUGUAAUUAGGCCCCUAAGUGCUGUGUCUCCUGAUAGUAAUUAUGAACAGAAACCAAAUAAUAGUUACUAAUAACAUGGAGGUGACCAAUCCUUGAGAGCUGAGGCAGAGAGAAGGAAAGAUGGCAUUAUGCCUUGUCUCUGGUGCCUUGAGUUUCCCAGGCUGGUUUGUGACCAAUCUUGGGUGAAAUCAUAACUAAGUCAUUUCUGCUAAGGUGAUCAGCUUUCGUGGGGUCCUUUCUCUGCACUCUGUCCAAUGGUAAAGCCCACUGGUUUAUGCCUCCUGGAAAACAGUUAUUCCAAAGCAGUAUAAGUGAAGCAUUGAUGAAACAGCCAUGAAGAGCAUGUUUCCACAUGGCCUCGCACCACCUUUUCAAAGUGCUGUAAAACUUUUUUCAUCCAAAAAUCAGUAACAGAAAAGGAUUGGGAUCAAAUCCCGUACAGAGGUAGUGUAAGAAAAAAGAGAAUAAGGAGCAGAAUAGCAUGUCUUCAGACAAUAAAAUCAAGUUGGAAAAGACAGGUCCACAAAACAGAUCAAAACUGUAACCUAUUAUUUCAAAGUGGGCUAAAAGAUGUUAGGAAAAACAAUGCGAAAGAUGAAAGAACAUGGAUCGAGGAGGGAAUGGGAAGUUAUUGUUUAGUGGCUAUAGAGUCUCUGUUUGGGAUGGUGGAAAAGUUCUGGAAAUGGUAAAUGCUGAUAAAUGCCACCUAUGGGUGUUUGGUUUUAGUUGAUCUUCUUCCAUGAAAGGGUUUGGAGAGAUUCAGAAGCUAUGCUGCUGCCUCCAUCUUUCUGAUGUCCUGCUCAAUCUUUUGACAUAAUUAUUUUGAAUUUGCACAGUGGUGAUGGUUGCACAGCAUUGUGAAUGUAUUUAAUGUCACUGAAUUGUAUACUUGAAAAUGGUUGAAAUAAUAAAUUUUGUUUUAUGUA